AGUUCCAGCUACUGCAAGGUUGCCAGGCUGUAGGAGCAGACAAUUGGUGUCUCAGCUGCAGGCGAUCACAACUAUGAGAGCUAGGAAUAACUGUGUCAGUUAGAGGGCUGGGGCAUAAAUAUUUGUGUGAAAAGGCUAGCUGUCAUUGAUCUUUCACAUCUCCACAAGGUGUGACAGAGCAAGCAUUAAAGGCAAUGGUCU
RNAcentral lists this long non-coding RNA (201 nucleotides) under Homo sapiens (human). Its description in RNAcentral is "HSALNT0017641". Lineage: Eukaryota; Metazoa; Chordata; Mammalia; Primates; Hominidae. The record is from RNAcentral.